AAAGGAAUAGACGGGGACCCGCACAAGCAGCGGAGCAUGUGGUUUAAUUCGAAGCAACGCGAAGAACCUUACCAAGACUUGACAUUACAUGAUUGCCCUAGAGAUAGGGAGUUCCUUCGGGACAUGUGGACAGGUGGUGCAUGGUUGUCGUCAGCUCGUGUCGUGAGAUGUUGGGUUAAGUCCCGCAACGAGCGCAACCCUUAUCAAUAGUUGCCAAUAUUAAGUUAGGAACUCUAUUGAGACUGCCGCGGAUAACGCGGAGGAAGGUGAGGAUGACGUCAAAUCAUCAUGCCCCUUACGUCUUGGGCUACACACGUGCUACAAUGGCUAUUACAAAGAGUCGCAAAACAGCAAUGUCAAGCCAAUCUCAUAAAGAUAGUCUCAGUUCGGAUUGUGGGCUGCAACUCGCCCACAUGAAGCUGGAGUUGCUAGUAAUCCCGAAUCAGAAUGUCGGGGUGAAUGCGUUCCCGGGUCUUGUACACACCGCCCGU
RNAcentral lists this ribosomal RNA (491 nucleotides) under uncultured bacterium. Its description in RNAcentral is "bacterial SSU rRNA". It matches the Rfam family "Bacterial small subunit ribosomal RNA", at positions 903 to 1397 of the family's 1533-position model. The record is from RNAcentral.